GUUGCUUGUCCAGUAUUCUAUCAACUAAACAUAGAAAAAAAGAGGAAAAGAGGAGAGUAGGUGAGAAGCAAGAUGAAGAGUGUGGUGGCACCAACGGCAUGGUCAAUUUCCCUGAUACCCCGCGUAAAUGCCCGCAAAAUCCCCAAUUCAUCGCCUCCCUUUCCAAAAUUCUUUAGUCCCAAACCCUACUCUUUCUUCUCUUCUCCUCCUGUUCGUCCUCUUUCCAUGGCGGCCUCCGCUGCUCAGACUGCGUCACCCGGGGAUGUCACCACUGAUGCCCAAGUCUUUCAACUGAUCAAAGAUCAUCAGGAAAAGGCUGCUCGGCUUCCUCCGCUUGAGGAAAUUAGAACUGUUAUUAAUCAGAGUGUGCGAGGCAUGCUUUCGACUAUUUCUCAGAAGUAUGAGGGUUAUCCAUCAGGAUCGAUGGUCGACUUUGCAUGCGAUCAGGAUGGGUAUCCAAUAUUAGCAGUCAGUAGCCUGGCAAAUCAUACAAAGGACCUGUUAGCUAAUACCAAAUGCUCAUUGCUUGUAGCAAAGGAUCCUGAGGAUAAGACUGACCUUUUAAUUACUGUGCAUGGAGAUGCUGUUCCUGUCUCUGAAGAGGAUAAAGGGGAUAUUCGUACAGCAUACUUGACAAGGCAUCCCAAUGCAUUCUGGGUUGACUUUGGUGACUUCCAAUUUAUGCGUAUUGAACCAAAAGUAGUGCGUUAUGUGUCUGGGAUUGCAACAGCUCUCUUGGGAACAGAAGAGUUUACUAAAGAGGCCUAUACAGCUGCAAAAGUUGAUCCAAUAGCUCAGUUUUCUAAGCCUGUGGCGUCUCACAUGAACAGAGAUCAUGCAGAAGAUACAAAGCUGAUUGUGCAACACGUGACAUCUAUUCUGGUGGACUCUGCUUAUAUGCUGGAUUUGGAUAGUCUUGGUUUCUAUGUUAAGGCUACUUACCGAGGGAAUACUUUCAAGCUCCGAAUUCCUUUCCCUAGACGUGCUGAGGAUAGAAAGGAUGUAAAGACUCUUGUGGUGGAAAUGCUUCAAGCUGCUAACUCUCAAUCUAAUUAAUGCUCUAUUAAAAUUGAGUAAAAAGAUAUUUUCCAUAUUACUCCCAAAACUAGGCCAACUUUUGUUGUUAUGGUACCCUCCAAGCAGUGUAGUCCUCCAAUAGUUGAACCAUAUACUCCUUGUAUCCUGUGGGAUUAGACAUGGUAUAGGAUCCUGCAUCGAACCAUAGAUCAUCUUUCUGGGAACAAAUGGAAACAAGUGAAAUCAGUGGCAAUUCUUUGGCUUUCUUUUCUUGUUUGCUCUUGCUUUGUCUCUAUCUAUUGUAAUUAAGGUCAGAAUGAAUAACCAUGUUAUGUCAGACUGUUCAAUGUAAAAAGGGUGCAUAAACAGUUUCUAGAACACAAAGUCAGUAGUGCAAAAAUUUUUAUUUUUGGUGGGAUACUGUACAAACUUUGCUAUGGAGAAGCUCAUUCGAAAUUGAAAUACACAGAUGAUGAUUAGAACUAGCCA
RNA transcript from Vitis riparia (riverbank grape), 1506 nucleotides. RefSeq lists it as uncharacterized. Lineage: Eukaryota; Viridiplantae; Streptophyta; Magnoliopsida; Vitales; Vitaceae. The transcript has 14 exons. The record is from RefSeq and is a predicted model, not a curated record.